RNAcentral lists this ribosomal RNA (398 nucleotides) under uncultured bacterium. RNAcentral describes it as "partial 16S ribosomal RNA". It matches the Rfam family "Bacterial small subunit ribosomal RNA", at positions 360 to 775 of the family's 1533-position model. The record is from RNAcentral.
AAUCUUGCGCCAUGGGCGAAAGCCUGACGCCGCCAUUCCGCCUGAAUGAUGAAGGUCUUUGGAUUGUAAAAUUCUUUCACCGGGGACGAUAAUGACCGUACCCGGAGAAGAAGCCCCGGCUAACUUAGUUCCAGCCGCCGCGGUCAUACGAAGGGGGCCAGCGUUGCUCGGAAUUACUGGGCGUAAAGGGCGCGUAGGCGGACAUUUAAGUCAGGGGUGAAAUCCCAGAGCUAAACUCUGGAACUGCCUUUGAUACUGGGUGUCUUGAGUGUGAGAGAGGUAUGUGGAACUCCGAGUGUAGAGGUGAAAUUCGUAGAUAUUCGGAAGAACACCAGUGGCGAAGGCGACAUACUGGCUCAUUACUGACGCUGAGGCGCGAAAGCGUGGGGAGCAAACAG